Long non-coding RNA from Syngnathus acus (greater pipefish), 107 nucleotides. RefSeq lists it as uncharacterized. The transcript has 3 exons. The record is from RefSeq and is a predicted model, not a curated record. NCBI's taxonomy places the organism in Eukaryota, Metazoa, Chordata, Actinopteri, Syngnathiformes, Syngnathidae.
GCUCCCCCACCCCUACAUAAACAUCAGCGUUGGAUCAGGGAGGCCAUUGAGAUCCGCAAGCGGGGCCCGAGGACCAUCAACAGGGACGAGGGAGCCUACAUGCUCUC